CAGUCGGACUGCAGUCUGCAACUCGACUGCACGAAGCUGGAAUCGCUAGUAAUCGCGGAUCAGCACGCCGCGGUGAAUACGUUCCCGGGCCUUGUACACACCGCCCGUCACACCAUGGAAGUCUGCAAUGCCCGAAGCCGGUGGCCUAACCACUUAUGUGGAAGGAGCCGUCUAAGGCAGGGCAGAUGACUGGGGUGAAGUCGUAACAAGGUAAC
This 215-nucleotide ribosomal RNA is filed under the name uncultured bacterium. Its description in RNAcentral is "partial 16S ribosomal RNA". It matches the Rfam family "Bacterial small subunit ribosomal RNA", at positions 1288 to 1500 of the family's 1533-position model. The record is from RNAcentral.